CUGCUCUGUUUCAUACCCCUUUGAGACGUCAUAGACAUGCACAAAGUCUGCCGGUUCGGCCAUGGCCAUGUAUUUUCCAUCGGACGUGUAGCGGAUCGACCGGAUUGCUCCAAGGUUACCCUUCAAGACAGCAACGGAGUGAGAUAGGUUGCGGAUGUCCCAUACACGGCAGGUCUUGUAUUGGUUUCCAGUUGAGAAAGUGAUUCCGUCAGGAUGCCACGCUGAGGCAAAGGAAUAGUCAAAAUGUCCUGAUAGUGUUUCCAGCGUCUGUAGAUGAAGUUUUUUAAAGAUUUGGCAUUAUAAAAGUGGUGACCAACCAUUUGAGACUAACUUACACACUUGGGUUCAGGAUCUAGCUAAUAUGUACCUUUCCUGUGUUGGGGUCUACUAUAAGGCCCUCGGGAUUGUCGCCAACAAUAGCUAGUAAUUUACCAUUAGGACUCAAUGAUGUGUGCUGUUACCAACAAAUGGAAGACAGAAGAACAUAAUUAGCCUAACUGAAACUCCGAAUUAUGCCAAAAUAAAAGGAAAACUAUGAGAGAAGCAAGGACUUUACGUUCACUGGCCAAGGAAAGGAAAAAUGCUUAACAAGCUGGUAUCUCUCCAUGUCAAAAUCUCUAACUCCACAGUCAUUAUUCGAGGCAGUAAAAUGAAGAGCACCACUAUGAACAGAUGACAAAAACUAAGUUAGAAGCAGUGACUCUAACAAUUUAAAUGUAGACCCUUCAGCAGAAACUUGGGUUUGUUGUAGAUCUCAAUAGCAUUGGUAAUAGCAUUAUCUUCAUAAGUAGUACGAGAGCAAAAGCUGACGCCAGGUCUAUCAAGAUGCUGAAACCAAUGUGGAAAGUAGAAAGAUGUUUUUCCUACAAAUUUGCAAAAUCACAUUUUCCGGCCAAAGUCGUAAAAUCAUAUCCCCAAAAUCAUGAAAUCACGCUUCCCGCAUAAACCGUGAAAUAUUUUUUUCCCGGAAAACCAUAUAUCAUGUUUUCGCGUCAAAACCGUAAAAUUAUGUUUUUCCACCAAAAUCGUAAAAUCACAUUUUUCGCCAAAACUAUGUUAGAACCGUAAAAUUACGAUUUCUGCAAAAAUCGCAAAAUUAAGUUUUUCCGUCAAAACCGUAAAUCACAUUUUCCUCAAAACCACAAAUUACGUUUCCCACUUUCUUGGUAGAAUUAUUCAUGUCUACCACCACUAAAGAGAUAUUUUUAAAAAACAUUCUUCAUUAAGUGGCAAAAGACUUUUAUAUCUUUGUUCUAUAUAUAUAUAUGAUAAAUAAUUAUUUAAAUAAACUAAAAUAUAUUUUUAUAUAUAUCCCCUUAUAUUAAAUUUUUGAAGUUAUAAAUAUGGUCAACUUGAUAAUUUUAAUUAUUUAAGGCACUUUACAAACAAAUAAAAUGAUAAGGACUAAAAUAUAAUAACUUAAGAAAAUAAAUCAAUAUAUUUUAGUAUAUACUGACACGUGUCAGUUACGAGGCAUGUUUUAGCUAUUUAUUAUGAGUUUAGGUAUGAACUUCAAAAUUUCAUUUAGUUUACGAAUGUUUUAGCACGUUAAUAUACUCUAGAUACGUAUUUUCUCCGCUUUCAUAGUGUGAAUAUGAAUAAGCCGUUUUCCCCAGUAAGAAACAGACAACAAACGAAGUUAGAAGCAGUGACUCUUAACAAUCUAAUGCGGACAGCAAAAGAAAGAGGCAAAAAACCUGGGUUUGUUGUAGAUUUCAAUAGCAUUGGUAAUAGCAUUAUCAUCAUAAGUAGUACGAGAGAAAAAGCUGACCCCAGGUCUAUCAAGAUGCUGAAACCAAAGUGGAAAGUAGAAAUAGAUGAAGCUUUGUCAAUAAUAAUGCAUAUGGCUUCUCUUUUUUUUUUGCGCAACGCAUAUGGCUACUCAAUAAUCAAUAUAUCCAGACUCUUGACUUUGCAUAUAAGAUCUCCUUGAAUCCACCGGCAAUUAUUCGUCUUUUAUUGCAAGUGUGCUUAUAUGUGUAAACUCUUCCAGCAAACUUCCAUGGUGUUUCUAAGGGGCUGCUAGUUGGAGUUUGAUUUAUAUAGAUUUAGUUGAUUAGAAGAGUAUAUAGACUUGUUGAAUUCGGAAUGAGUUGGAGAAAAUUUUGUAACAAUCUAUAAAAAUAAAUAACUAUAAUAUUUUUUAGAAUCCAAAGGAUAUAUGUAGUAUUUUUUAUGAGUUAAAUAAUUAAGAAUACAAUUCUCAAUAACAGUAACUUUAAUAAAUUUACAGAAAUAUUAAAAUCCAAACUUUCGAAUAACAAAUGAUUUUUAGAUUUUAGUGAGAAUAUGAAAAUCUAUAAAUCAAUAACACUACUAUUUAAAUUCUAAAAAUUAAUUCCACUAACACCUUCUAAAUGCACCAAAAAAUCAAAUAAGUAUAUUAUUUUAAUGGGCCGUGUGGUUAGACAAACUCAUUAACUAAUCAAUGGGCUUUAUUAACAUUAUCUCACUAAUCUAGUCAAUGUAUAUAGAUAUGUAUCUAGCCAAAAAAAGGAAGCAAUCUUAAUUUGUAUCUUUUUGGUCUUGUUAAGACUAAAACAGUUAUUAACACAUCAGCAAUACUUAUCUAAUUAAUUAAUUACAUUUAUUUUUUAAAUAUCAUUAAAGCUUUGAAUGUUUACAACCACACCAUAGUUAAUAAUUACGAAAAUCUCUACAUAUAUUUGUGUAUAUCAGAAACGCAAACGUAGUUGUUACGCAAGCUAACAUUCGGACCUUAUGUUUUCUCCUUAGGUGUUAAGGAACUGAUUUAUUAUAAAGAUAAUAAGGUCCUCACAAACUCUCCAUUCACCAAGACAACAAAAAAAAAAGAUGUCAACAGUUUCACCCUCCUCGCAACUGGUUCAGGUGGUUCCAGACAACCACAACAACACUGACGACUCCUCUGCGGAGGUCAACUACGAAGAUCUUGUCCGUAAGUCAUGUCUAUUUGACCUUUUAUUUGACAUUCAGGUUCAUUAGUUUCCUCACAGGUUUAAAACAUUUUACAACACUCAUGUUCUUGUUUUCUCUUUACUUUGUAACAUGCUGAGACACCAUACCUCUUAUGUUUUUCAGAGGAAGCAAUGGAGAGCUUGUCCCUCGAGGAAGGUAUUAAAAAAAGGUUUCUCUAACUCUGUGGCUUUGUAUCACUUUGCGACUUAUUGAAUUUCCACCUUAUGGAACUUGCAGGCACUGUUGAACCGCAGAUUGGGGAUGUGGGAGACGGAGUCAUUGAUGGGACGACGUCCGAAGGUGGAUACCUGGUGACGAUGAAAUUCGGUUCUCAAGUGCUGAAAGGAGUGCUUUACCAUCAUGCUAAAAGGCCCCAACAAGCCAUGGGAACACCACCUUCAGGCAUGCCACCAGCAUCGCAGCGCCGAGCUAAGAAGAAAGCCAGAGAGACUACUCAAGUUGAUUCUAAGAAACCCAAAUUCCGCAGGAGUGGCUACAAACCUAAGAAACAGGUCACUUACUUAUAGUUAUCAUCAAAUCAAAUCCUUUAACCAAGUGUUUGCUUAUAAUCUGAUACCAUUUUCUUACAGGUUUAUCAAGACAAAGGAGUUACGGAUGGGGAGAGGUACAGAACUGAGAUCAUGCUGGAGUACGAGUCUGCACAUGAGUCUGAUGGAGCGUCUGCUUCUGCAGCCGCCACCAUGGCUCAGUAGUCUUUUCUUCUUCUGUUAUGUUGUUGUCUUCUUCUUUCUUUAUUACAUUUCUCUUUCUUCUUUCUUUCUCUGGACAAGUUCUCUUUCUUUUAUAAUGAAUAUUUAUAAUGUCUUUGAUCAGUUUGCAGAACAUGUCAUGUUUAUGGUUGUAGGGUUAGUAAAAGAGGUUACUAACUGCGCAUUUAUGUCUUUCUUGCUAUUUUGAUUCAUGAUAUCCCGUUUGUUUGUUUUUUUUGUUUCUGUUUUCAACUUGGAUAUAUCUUAUGUUGUUGCAGAAAUUUGAAUGAACUAUUAUUACUCUUUUCGUUCCAAAUUAAUUCAUGUUUUAGAAAAAAAGUAUUUUAAGAAGAUAUAUUUUUAUUAGAUAAUAAUGUAAAAUUUUAAAUUUUGAAAAGAAAUCGUGUUUACUGUACUUCGAUGGAUAAAAAUUAUAGAAAAUAUAGUUAAACACAAAAUAAUGCAUUUAUAAUUAAGAUCAAACAUAUUUUUAAUAUGUGUGGAAAAAUUUAAAACAUACAUUUUUUGAAAUGGGGUAGGGAACAUCAUUUAUUUAACACAUAUGUUUCUUGAAUCCCAUUUUUGUUGUUAGUUUUCAAGAGUUUCAACAUGUUCUCCCAACAUAUAAAAAGCUUGUUUUGAUAAUCAAUUUGUGAAAUAACCAAAAAUAAAGAGAGAAUGGGUGAUUUUGGUUAGUUAGUGGAUUUUGUUUUUUUUUGUAUAUUGGACCUAAUUUCCCAUUAAUAAUGCAAUGAAUGUUUUUAAGCCAACAUGUCAUAUUUGGCAAGAAUGCGUUCAAGGCAACACAAAUUUUUGUGAGAAACUUCAUUGAUGUUUUCAUAAUUGAAACAACUAACCAACACUACUUACUGUACACAUCUUGAACCUUCAGAAUUCACAAGGAAACAACAUGCAAGCCGCCGGCAAAGGAAACAAAAAGACAGUAACUACAAUAGCAUUUGCAUAACACAUCAUUUACACCUUUUAAGACAUCCAUUAUAUUCUAUGCUUCUGCUUUUGUAUGAGCUCUCUUUUAUUCCUUGGAACGGGUUGUGUAUACUUCUCUUCUUCGCUUAAAGAAACGAAUCAAGAUAGGUGUAGUUUCUGCGCCGAUGAUACUCAAGGAGGCUACCAUAAGUGCGGUCCCAUACUCCAAUGAAGAGCGCCUCUGUGUCAGGGCUGAAUGAUAUUCCAGAUAUCUCUCCAAAGAAGUCGAUCUCCUGCUCUGUUUCAUACCCCUUUGAGACGUCAUAGACGUGCACAAAGUCUGCCGGUUCGGCCAUGGCCAUGUAUUUUCCGUCGGACGUGUAGCGGAUCGACCGGAUUGCUCCAAGGUUACCCUUCAGGACAGCAACAGAGUGAGAUAGGUUGCGGAUGUCCCAUACACGGCAGGUCUUGUCUUGGUUUCCAGUUGAGAAAGUGAUUCCGUCAGGAUGCCACGCUGAGGCAAAGGAGUAGUCAAAAUGUCCUGAUAGUGUUUCCAGCGUCU
This 5136-nucleotide long non-coding RNA is filed under the name Brassica rapa (field mustard). Its description in RNAcentral is "long non-coding RNA (BRAP_LNC003886)". The record is from RNAcentral. Lineage: Eukaryota; Viridiplantae; Streptophyta; Magnoliopsida; Brassicales; Brassicaceae.